Molecule: long non-coding RNA, 861 nt
Filed under: Equus asinus (donkey)
Lineage: Eukaryota; Metazoa; Chordata; Mammalia; Perissodactyla; Equidae
Description: lncRNA (ENSEASG00005028634.1)
Source: RNAcentral
GCGGCGGGAGGAGGCGGUGCCUGUGGGAGCGGAGGGGGCGGGUCAGGGGCUGCGGGCGGCCGCGCGGCACCGGCCCUGACCCGCCGCCUCCCUCUGCAGGACUCGAGGCUGCGUCACUGCAGAGAGAGUUGCAGAAGUUGGGCCUGUCCUGCGGACCAGGCAGGUAGUUUCCCUUGCCCCCCGGACCCUGGGCUCCCCCGCUGCCCCCGCCGAUCCAGAGUCCUCGUAUCCUCGGGCAGUCCUCAAGCCCCCCUGGGACCCAGGAGAGCAGAGCAAAGACACUGGGGCUUCCUACUCUUCUCCGCCCAGGAUUCUGGUGUAUCCCCAGGCAGAAGCAGCGGAUCCUAAGCCAGGCACGGGAUCAAGUGACCAAAUCAGCAUUUUUGCAGAGGGUAGAUGGGGGAUUGGGGAGCCUGGAUUCCCCACCCAUCGGAGGGCUUCUGGAGGCACGAGGAGGGCUCAGGUUACGGGACACCCAACCCUGCAAACGGACCGGGGGAAGUGGACUCGGCUUCUGGCGACAGACACCAGGAGGGGGGAAGCCAAUGUCUGUCCACGUCUGCAGACCCUUUCCCCACCCCUCCUCCUUCCCGAUCUAUCCUUUCCUGGUCCUCAAGGCACAAAAAUUCCCGAAAGCUCCAAACUCUCACCGCCGUCAUCCUCAGCACCCCCUCCUAACUCUCCCUGCCCCAUUCCCUAAGGCCCUGGAAUUGGGGAAGGGUCUUCCCCUUUCUGAUUUCUAGGACCCCUUCGGUUUCUCCGCCCCCAUUCCUAUCCGUACCAUUUCCAGGAAAGAGGGUCUCCCGGACACUAAAGCUGAAAAUAUGGGGACUCUCUGCCUACGAUUCUUGGUGCCCCGAG